GAAAGGGUCCUCUGGGGUUUGACCCCACUUUUUCCACAUCUCUAAGGCUGUGGUGGACAGUGGACAGCCUCUGAAGUGUCCCUGGGGCCUGGAGGGGGUAGUGCAGGAUGGGAAGGGGGAAGGGGGCUCUCAGGAAGCCCCAGGUGACUUCCUGUCCAGUCACACCCACCAUCAGCCAGCCAUGUGUGCUGAGGGGCUGGCCAAAGCCCAGGCUCCUGGCCUGGAGCUGGCUGCGGGUGGAGGUCAGAAGAGAAGUGGGAGAAGGAGGAGACUCGGGCUGGCUGCUGAGAGGCUGGCUCACCCUCCACCCAGAUGAGAAGAACUGUUCUGACUGUAUAUGUGUCAAGUCCGAAUUCCACUGCGGGGACCCUGGAUGCCAGACCUGUACCCACCACCCCUGCCCUCCAGGCCAGGAAGCAGUGCCUGAAGGGAAUUUCAAGUUUGGCUUCAGAUGUGUGGACUGCGCUGUGGGGACCUUCUCCAGUGGCCACGAGGGCCGCUGCAGACCUUGGACAGACUGCGACCAGUUUGGUUUUCUCACCAUGUUCCAUGGGAACAAAACUCACAAUGCUGUAUGCAUCCUGGGGUCUCUGCCCGCUGAGCCACCUGGCCAGCUGACCAUCCUCCUCUUGGCCCUGGCCACCUGCAUCCUCGUCCUGACCACAGCCCAGCUCAGCCUGCACAUCUGGCAGCUGAGGAGGAAGCACAGGUGGCCUCAAGGUCAGUUGGGGUCCCAGGGGAGGAGAGGGUGGAGGGCUCAGGCUGCCGCUGACCACGACCCCCCUACAGAGACCCCGCCACUUCCAGAGGUGCUCCCCCCACCUGCGGAGGAUGCCUGCAGCUGCCAGUUCCCUGAGGAGGAGCGGGGGGAGCGGCUGGAGAAGGACGAGCUGGGGCGUCCUUGGGUGUGAGGCUGACCAUCCUCAGGAGAAGCUGCACCCCAAGCCAGACCCUCCCCAGGAGCUGGCCCAGGCUGACCCUUGGGAGCCAGGGCUCUGCUUUCCAUCUGUUCUGGGCCCGGCCCUGCUCCCCUCAACGGUGGAAGUGGGUACAGGAUGGUGACAGUGACAAGUUCCCUCGACUGUGCAGAAGGGUGGUGGCCAUGGCUGGCCCUGUGGGAGAGAUGGGCAGCCGUGACUGCCUUCCUCCCUGGCCAGCCCUGCUGGGGUGGGGUCUGUGUUCCCCCCACGGGUGUGCAGUGUCCAGCAGGGGACCUGGCUGCAGGUGGUUUUCAAUAAACACUUGUUCAG
Molecule: long non-coding RNA, 1250 nt
Filed under: Ictidomys tridecemlineatus (thirteen-lined ground squirrel)
Lineage: Eukaryota; Metazoa; Chordata; Mammalia; Rodentia; Sciuridae
Description: lncRNA (ENSSTOG00000009170.3)
Source: RNAcentral